Molecule: long non-coding RNA, 358 nt
Organism: Cyprinus carpio (common carp)
Lineage: Eukaryota; Metazoa; Chordata; Actinopteri; Cypriniformes; Cyprinidae
Exons: 3
Source: RefSeq, a predicted model, not a curated record
AUAGCAGUGGCCCAAGUACCCAUGCUCAAACUCCAGUAUGUAAAUCACUAAGUACGGAAGAUAUAUUGGACUUCCUUGAACAUCAAGUUGACACAACUACAGAAUUUAAGUUGUGUGUGGACAGAGAAGACCUUCCAGACAGGGGCAUUCUGCAGUGGAAAAGAAAGAAAGCUGCAUCUCCUGCCAGUACUCUGAAGGUGGUGUAUAUAGGAGAGGCAGGUAUUGAUACAGGAGCCCUUAGGAAAGAGUUUUUAACUGAUAUGGUUUCAGGUAUUGAAAACAGAUUCUUCGGAAUAACAGAAUAACUUCUUCGCACAACACAACCUAGUUCUGUGAGCCGUAAGAAGAUCCCUGCAGC